This 23-nucleotide non-coding RNA is filed under the name Arabidopsis thaliana (thale cress). Lineage: Eukaryota; Viridiplantae; Streptophyta; Magnoliopsida; Brassicales; Brassicaceae. The record is from RNAcentral.
ACGUAUCAGGCGGAUCAAGCAGC